AAGCGGGGGAUAACACCUGGAAACAGAUGCUAAUACCGCAUAACAACUUGGACCGCAUGGUCCGAGCUUGAAAGAUGGCUUCGGCUAUCACUUUUGGAUGGUCCCGCGGCGUAUUAGCUAGAUGGUGGGGUAACGGCUCACCAUGGCAAUGAUACGUAGCCGACCUGAGAGGGUAAUCGGCCACAUUGGGACUGAGACACGGCCCAAACUCCUACGGGAGGCAGCAGUAGGGAAUCUUCCACAAUGGACGAAAGUCUGAUGGAGCAACGCCGCGUGAGUGAAGAAGGGUUUCGGCUCGUAAAACUCUGUUGUUAAAGAAGAACAUAUCUGAGAGUAACUGUUCAGGUAUUGACGGUAUUUAACCAGAAAGCCACGGCUAACUACGUGCCAGCAGCCGCGGUAAUACGUAGGUGGCAAGCGUUGUCCGGAUUUAUUGGG
This 438-nucleotide ribosomal RNA is filed under the name Lactiplantibacillus plantarum. RNAcentral describes it as "bacterial SSU rRNA". It matches the Rfam family "Bacterial small subunit ribosomal RNA", at positions 134 to 558 of the family's 1533-position model. Lineage: Bacteria; Bacillati; Bacillota; Bacilli; Lactobacillales; Lactobacillaceae. The record is from RNAcentral.